Molecule: non-coding RNA, 78 nt
Organism: Cordylochernes scorpioides
Lineage: Eukaryota; Metazoa; Arthropoda; Arachnida; Pseudoscorpiones; Chernetidae
Source: the annotation of a GenBank genome assembly
UCCAGGGUAGCCUAGUGGACAUGGAAUCUGCCCCAUGGCAUAAGCGGAAAACUGUGGGUUCGAUUCCCAUCCCUGGAC